Molecule: ribosomal RNA, 253 nt
Filed under: uncultured bacterium
Lineage: Bacteria
Description: partial 16S ribosomal RNA
Rfam family: Bacterial small subunit ribosomal RNA
Source: RNAcentral
UACGUAGGGGGCAAGCGUUGUCCGGAUUUAUUGGGCGUAAAGAGCGUGUAGGCGGCCAGGUAGGUCGGUUGUGAAAACUGGAGGCUCAACCUUCAGAGGUCGACCGAAACCAUCUGGCUAGAGUCCGGGAGAGGAGAGUGGAAUUCCUGGUGUAGCGGUGAAAUGCGCAGAUAUCAGGAGGAACACCGGUGGCGAAGGCGGGUCUCUGGGCCGAUACUGACGCUGAGGAACGAAAGCGUGGGGAGCGAACAGG